Molecule: long non-coding RNA, 322 nt
Filed under: Gossypium raimondii (Peruvian cotton)
Lineage: Eukaryota; Viridiplantae; Streptophyta; Magnoliopsida; Malvales; Malvaceae
Description: long non-coding RNA (GRAI_LNC007491)
Source: RNAcentral
GGCCCAUUACGUCUUGUAACCAUUUGUUAGCUUAAGCAAUCAUAUAUCCUUAAGCAGACGGAGAUGGUGAAUCGAUCAAUGCAAGGCAAUUAUUCCAUGCCUGAAUGCUCUUCGCUAUAAUUGUCGCUGCACUUAGGUCUUUGAAUAGAGGAUUUUCUAGACUCCUCUUUACUAAUGCUAAGUGGCAAACUUUUCCCAACACAACAAGUUCGCCGCAACACCUGUUAGAAAUACUUCCUGUCUCGAAAAUACUCGUGAAAGCUUCUAGAACACAGGGCAAACCCAAUUUAGUUUCACAAUUAUUUUCCUUAAUAAUCCGGUC